This 497-nucleotide ribosomal RNA is filed under the name uncultured Bacillota bacterium. RNAcentral describes it as "bacterial SSU rRNA". It matches the Rfam family "Bacterial small subunit ribosomal RNA", at positions 533 to 1032 of the family's 1533-position model. The record is from RNAcentral. Lineage: Bacteria; Bacillati; Bacillota.
GGCAAGCGUUGUCCGGAUUUACUGGGCGUAAAGGAUGCGUAGGCGGAUAUUUAAGUCAGAUGUGAAAACCCCGAGCUUAACUUGGGGACUGCAUUUGAAACUGGAUAUCUAGAGUGUGGGAGAGGAGAAUGGAAUUCCUAGUGUAGCGGUGAAAUGCGUAGAGAUUAGGAAGAACACCAGUGGCGAAGGCGAUUCUCUGGACCAUAACUGACGCUGAGGCAUGAAAGCGUGGGUAGCAAACAGGAUUAGAUACCCUGGUAGUCCACGCCGUAAACGAUGAGUACUAGGUGUAGGGGGGUCCAACCCUCUGUGCCGCAGUUAACACAAUAAGUACUCCGCCUGGGAAGUACGAUCGCAAGAUUAAAACUCAAAGGAAUUGACGGGGGCCCGCACAAGCAGCGGAGCAUGUGGUUUAAUUCGAAGCAACGCGAAGAACCUUACCUGGACUUGACAUCCCCUGAAUUACCGGUAAUGCGGGAAGCCCUUCGGGGCAGGGA